This is a non-coding RNA of Misgurnus anguillicaudatus (oriental weatherfish), 307 nucleotides long. The record is from RefSeq and is a predicted model, not a curated record. NCBI's taxonomy places the organism in Eukaryota, Metazoa, Chordata, Actinopteri, Cypriniformes, Cobitidae.
UGCAUCUGACGUGUGGGAUGACGUCACUACGCACGUAUUUUGAUUUUUACCAGUUGUUCAAGACAGACGGAUUCAGUCCCAAGAAGCUAAAGUUUUUCAAAGACAUUUGUAGGGAGGACUUUGCAGCUAAUGAUUUCCUACGGCUGAACCAAAACCUGCCAGACUAAAGUUGAUUUGGGAGAGAAAGACGUUGUAAACUUAAUUAGGGCUGCACGAUAAAUCGCAUGCGAUACCACGCGCAUCACGUCAGUAAUGCCGGUUCCUUGAUUAGUAUUAAAUCGCCAUCAGCUGUUUUCAGAUGGAGCAG